GCAGGGGUAGCCAAGUGGACUACGGCGCCAGUCUUGAAAACUGGUUCCCUUCGGGGAGCAUGGGUUCGAAUCCCAUUCCCUGCGCCA
RNAcentral lists this transfer RNA (87 nucleotides) under Candidatus Bathyarchaeota archaeon. RNAcentral's name for it is "tRNA-Ser". It matches the Rfam family "tRNA". Rfam says of the family: Transfer RNA (tRNA) molecules are approximately 80 nucleotides in length. Their secondary structure includes four short double-helical elements and three loops (D, anti-codon, and T loops). The record is from RNAcentral. Lineage: Archaea; Thermoproteati; Candidatus Bathyarchaeota.